This 231-nucleotide long non-coding RNA is filed under the name Phaseolus vulgaris (common bean). Its description in RNAcentral is "long non-coding RNA (PVUL_LNC000684)". It matches the Rfam family "Bacterial large subunit ribosomal RNA", at positions 475 to 710 of the family's 2925-position model. The record is from RNAcentral. Lineage: Eukaryota; Viridiplantae; Streptophyta; Magnoliopsida; Fabales; Fabaceae.
CCUGGGUGACCGAUAGUGAAGUAGUACCGUGAGGGAAGGGUGAAAAGACCCCCAUCGGGGAUGAAAUAGAACAUGAAACCGUAAGCUCCCAAGCAGUGGGAGGAGGCUCAGCCCCUCUGACCGCGUGCCUGUUGAAGAAUGAGCCGGCGACUCAUAGGCAGUGGCUUGGUUAAGGAAACCACCGGAGCCGUAGCGAAAGCGAGUCUUCAUAGGGCAAUUGUCACUGNNNNN